RNAcentral lists this transfer RNA (67 nucleotides) under Parevania sp. SJW-2015. Its description in RNAcentral is "tRNA-Phe". Lineage: Eukaryota; Metazoa; Arthropoda; Insecta; Hymenoptera; Evaniidae. The record is from RNAcentral.
AUUUUAAUAGCUUAUAGAAAGUUUAAUAUUGAAGAUAUUAAGAAAAUUUUUAAAAAAUUUUAAAAUA